UGCAGCCUUGUCAAAUUCGGUGUUUCCUCCUCAGUGGAUGGCACUGGCCAAAAUGGCUGCAACAGUGACUUUGUAGUCCAUGGGCCCCAUGUUCCUGUAUAGUGGGUACUGGGGAUAGAAGGGCUAUGUACAAAU
RNAcentral lists this small nucleolar RNA (135 nucleotides) under Sinocyclocheilus anshuiensis. RNAcentral describes it as "Small nucleolar RNA SNORA5 (ENSSANG00000000929.1)". It matches the Rfam family "Small nucleolar RNA SNORA5". Rfam says of the family: ACA5 is a member of the H/ACA class of snoRNA that guide the sites of modification of uridines to pseudouridines. Lineage: Eukaryota; Metazoa; Chordata; Actinopteri; Cypriniformes; Cyprinidae. The record is from Rfam by way of RNAcentral.